This is a long non-coding RNA of Gossypium arboreum, 559 nucleotides long. RefSeq lists it as uncharacterized. The record is from RefSeq and is a predicted model, not a curated record. The transcript has 2 exons. NCBI's taxonomy places the organism in Eukaryota, Viridiplantae, Streptophyta, Magnoliopsida, Malvales, Malvaceae.
UGGAACGGACUAACGGGAGGACCCCCCUCUUACACGGUGUUGUUUCAUUAACAAGUCAUUUAAGACCUUUCUUUCCCUAUUCUUUCCCAAACACAGCCCACAAUUUGGCCCAAAAUCUCAUCUUUGAAAUCAAAUCGCUAGGGUUUCCUUUGCUAGCAGCCGAACCACCAUAGUUUUGGUGAUCAACAGCAUGCAAACAGUACCCAACCUCGCCAUUGAAGGUGUUCGAUUAUGCCUAAAAGGAUUUGGAACGGCCGUACGGAGGAGUUGGGAAAGGCGCACGUGAAAGAGGUCGUGCGGGGAAACUACUCGUGGGAGCCCAACCCCCUGGCACUGUUCUGACACGUUCCAAAAACUUCUAGUGCUCUCGACUAUUAAUAUUCCUUUCGGGUUUGGGCUGUUUGAACUAAGGAUUUUUUAGUAUAGCUCUCUUGGAUUAUGUAAUUGGGUUAAAUCUAUAUUAAGGGAUUUUGGGUUUAAAUUAUUUUUGGCCCAAAUAUUUGUAACCGGACAUCGGACUUCUGAAUUUGGAUUCUUUAUUUGUGUGUUUUUUAUUUAA